Molecule: ribosomal RNA, 449 nt
Filed under: uncultured bacterium
Lineage: Bacteria
Description: partial 16S ribosomal RNA
Rfam family: Bacterial small subunit ribosomal RNA
Source: RNAcentral
AACGAACGCUGGCGGCAUGCCUAACACAUGCAAGUCGAACGAGACCUUCGGGUCUAGUGGCGCACGGGUGCGUAACGCGUGGGAAUCUGCCCUUGGGUUGGGAAUAACAGUCGGAAACGACUGCUAAUACCGGAUGAUGUCUUCGGACCAAAGAUUUAUCGCCCAGGGAUGAGCCCGCGUAAGAUUAGCUAGUUGGUGAGGUAAAGGCUCACCAAGGCUACGAUCUUUAGCUGGUCUGAGAGGAUGAUCAGCCACACUGGGACUGAGGCACGGCCCAGACUCCUACGGGAGGCAGCAGUGGGGAAUAUUGGACAAUGGGUGAAAGCCUGAUCCAGCAAUGCCGCGUGAGUGAUGAAGGCCUUAGGGUUGUAAAGCUCUUUUACCCGGGAUGAUAAUGACAGUACCGGGAGAAUAAGCCCCGGCUAACUCCGUGCCAGCCGCCGCGGUAA